GGAAGAAGCCACAAGUGACGGUACCUGCAGAAGAAGCGCCGGCUAACUACGUGCCAGCAGCCGCGGUAAUACGUAGGGCGCAAGCGUUGUCCGGAAUUAUUGGGCGUAAAGAGCUCGUAGGCGGUUUGUCGCGUCUGCUGUGAAAGCCCGGGGCUCAACCCCGGGUCUGCAGUGGGUACGGGCAGACUAGAGUGCAGUAGGGGAGACUGGAAUUCCUGGUGUAGCGGUGAAAUGCGCAGAUAUCAGGAGGAACACCGAUGGCGAAGGCAGGUCUCUGGGCUGUUACUGACGCUGAGGAGCGAAAGCAUGGGGAGCGAACAGGAUUAGAUACCCUGGUAGUCCAUGCCGUAAACGUUGGGCACUAGGUGUGGGGGACAUUCCACGUUCUCCGCGCCGUAGCUAACGCAUUAAGUGCCCCGCCUGGG
This 425-nucleotide ribosomal RNA is filed under the name Kocuria sp. RNAcentral's name for it is "bacterial SSU rRNA". It matches the Rfam family "Bacterial small subunit ribosomal RNA", at positions 443 to 877 of the family's 1533-position model. Lineage: Bacteria; Bacillati; Actinomycetota; Actinomycetes; Micrococcales; Micrococcaceae. The record is from RNAcentral.